Lolium rigidum is the source of this 707-nucleotide long non-coding RNA. RefSeq lists it as uncharacterized. The transcript has 3 exons. NCBI's taxonomy places the organism in Eukaryota, Viridiplantae, Streptophyta, Magnoliopsida, Poales, Poaceae. The record is from RefSeq and is a predicted model, not a curated record.
UGGUGGCGCCGGACGGGAGCAGAAGGGGAGGAGCGGCGCCGCCGACGCGAGUUCAGGUAGAGCAUACUCUGCAUCGACAAGGACUAUGUAGGUGGCGGAGAUACCGGACCCAGAGGACGAUGAAGCCAUGUUUGCCGUCUUCAGCCCGCUGGUUGACCUCAACGACAGUGGGGAUUGUAAGACACAACAACCAAGGAUCCUGCAGGCGAUUCCAUAUGGAGAUUUUGUAGUGAUAUGAAGCUUAUAACUAGAUAAGUUUGUAGAAUUUAUUCUAAAAGUGAGUAUUUGAAUAUCGUCCACCUCAAUCUAGGCUGAGAAGAUAUCAGUUUUAUAGUAUUCUUUCUCCAAGGUAAUUUUUUCACCAUUACGAACCAUCCAUUGUCCCUAUUGUGUUUGAAAUACUUUAUGAUAUUUGUGUGAGUUGCUGUAAUGUCUACAUAUUUGCAAAUGACUAGCCAAUUUGAUCAGCAGUUCAGACUUAGGGUGCUUAUUGCAUUCAAUGGAUUUCGAGGAAAGGUUAUCUCUGCAAGGAUGCAUAUAAUAGCCCUAGACGUCAGCAGCCAAAUGCAGCAACGUAGGGAAGGUUGUAACUGGUCCUGCACACAAGUGCUUAGAGAUAUCUCGAAAUCAACUACAGAUUAUUUGUGAUUUUCCCAAAGUAAAAUAGUCGACACCAGUGAACUGCUCACUCAGCUCAUCUGCCUGUG